GUGGAGGCGAAGGUUGGGCUGGACAAGGAGAGGAUGAGGGCGACGCGCCACGUGCUGUCCGAGUACGGCAACAUGUCGAGCGCCUGCGUGCUCUUCAUCCUCGACGAGAUGCGCAAGCGCUCCGCCGAGGACGGCCACGCCACCACCGGCGAGGGCAUGGACUGGGGCGUCCUCUUCGGCUUCGGCCCCGGCCUCACCGUUGAGACCGUCGUCCUCCACAGCGUCCCCAUCACCGCCGGCGCCGCCGCCUGAGCGCUCCGCCCUGGUCGCCGCCGG
Molecule: unclassified non-coding RNA, 276 nt
Filed under: Hevea brasiliensis (rubber tree)
Lineage: Eukaryota; Viridiplantae; Streptophyta; Magnoliopsida; Malpighiales; Euphorbiaceae
Source: RNAcentral